Molecule: non-coding RNA, 2050 nt
Organism: Chiloscyllium plagiosum (whitespotted bambooshark)
Lineage: Eukaryota; Metazoa; Chordata; Chondrichthyes; Orectolobiformes; Hemiscylliidae
Source: RefSeq, a predicted model, not a curated record
AAACCGUCCCUCAGAAUACCGUCAGUAAUAAACCAUCUUUCAGUUUACCGUCAGUAAUAAACCGUCUCUCAGAUUACCGUCAGUAAUAAACCGUCCCUCAGAUUACCGUCAGUAAUAAACCGUCUCUCAGAUUACCGUCAGUAAUAAACCAUCUUUCAGGUCCCUCAGAUUACCGUCAGUAAUAAACCGUCCCUCAGAUUACCGUCAGUAAUAAAGUGUUGGCCAUUUAUUAUUCCUGACGCUGUUGUGAAUCACGAGCGCCGUCCGCGCGCUCCCGCUGGGGACACAGGCGCGUGCAGUUGUGCGCGCCUCCCGUUAGCAGUUGGAGACGGGACCUUGAGGAGGAGGAAUGGUGUCUGUUAGAGUCGUUUCAGUUUAGGCCGAACGGGUUGUGUUCGGCUCUGACCGAGGGGUUGUCCCUCCUCUGGCGGUUACGGGCCGGAGGAAAAGCAGCUCGGCUGGAGGAGCCUGGCUCAGAGCGUCGGAGAGAUGGCAGAGCGGGAAAAAUCCCCAUGGAUCAGGAAAGAGCGGUUCAAAGGAAAAGGCUUAUAAAGUUGUCAAAAAAGUUAGUAAACUUGAGGAUUGGGAGCAUUUUUAUAAUUCAGCAAAUGUCAAGUUUGAAGAAGAAAGAAUAUGGAGUCUGAAAGUGAACUAGCAAGAAACAAAAAUGGAUUGCAAACGCUUCUACAGAUGACAAAUAUCUUUAUCAGAUGUCAGCACACAAUUUGGAAAUUACAACUGAUGAAAAUUUACAGUAGAUUGGAAUGACCUUUUCCACAGGAGCGGUGCUUUGAUGUAUAGGAAGAAGGUGAUGUCCAUGACUACAUAUUCUGGUAGCUGUGUGAAUGAAUGUUAGACUGAUUUUUCACUGUCUAUGACAGCUACUUGAGCCUGAUUAUGAAGUCUACCACCAUAUGGUUUUCUAUCUCUGGGUGUGACCUCUGCUGAAACCAGCAAUCUAAGUGAAGAAUGAUGGAUUUUCGUCUAUGUACUAUAACUGUAGCAUUGAUUAAAAACAACUGGAUUUUGUUCUGUAAGUGUCAGUUCAUCCUGAAGUUAAACAUUAGAACAUCAUUGUCCUGUUUCAGUAGAGAUUUUGUAUUUUGAGCUGUUUUCAACAAAUUAUCCUUUUUAUAAGAAGAAGGGCUCAUGCCCGAAACGUCGAUUCUCCUGCUCCUUGGAUUGCUGCCUGACCUGCUGCGCUUUUCCAGCAACACAUUUUCAGCUCUGAUCUCCAGUAUCUGCAGUCCUCACUUUCUCCUAUCCUUUUUAUAAAGUCUAACGUGGUUGGAUGGAGAUGCAAUUUUCUCUGGAGUAAUACUGAAUGAAUUUAUUGAUCUCAACAGCAGUAAACAUUCAAUCAUGUGAAUUGUCUAAUGUUGAGCCCCGCCAUUGAAAUGAGAGUGGAUUGUGCAUUAUUACAUGGUAGAUUUUGAGGCACACUUAUCAAUGUGCUGAACCUCUUGUUUUGAGACAAAUAUACCCUUGAUUGACAACUGGCUGUUUGACCAGUGAUCAUUAAAAUUGAUUAAAUUAAUGACCACAUUCAGAAGACUUGUUCACUUUUAGCCAUUUUUAGCUUGUUAAUGAAAUAACAUUGCAAAGAUCAUUGUGAUUAUCACGAGACAUUGCCUGAGUGUUAAUUUUGCAGAGUUUCAUGGAGGAUUUCUCUUUGAAGCCCCAGCACAUUUUUUCUAUGCAAUCUUACCAAACUUGCCUUACUACAUCUGUACCAUCCCCCUAUGAUGCCCCAUUUGUGGUAUUCUCCCACUUCCACAGUUAGAAGUACUGCACACAGCUGUCACCUCCUAAGAUUACUGGUACCACAUUUUAAGCCAUGCAUCUCGUUGAGUGCUGGCAGUCUGCAGCUGGCCUGCAUUGUUUUAUUUUCCCCAGACAUGUCAGGCAAAGAGUAAUUGGCACCCUGCUUUGCUGAUGGGGAUUUGGAGGCCCUCCUGUACAGGAUGCUGUUUUCAGUCACUGCCCCUGGAAUGUUGUGGUGUAAAAUUCCAAGCAGUGGAAUGUGGUGAAACGGUUAAAAAUUAUGUCC